UCAAGGACCUACACACACCAUCUUAGCCAGGACUGUAUACGCAAAACUGUAUCUAUCAUGACUGAAGUACAUGCCAAGUCUUGUGGAUAUUGGAUCAUAACAAAAAGGUAUAAUCAUGUUGCUAAGGAUUGUACACCAGCAAUUACCUCUUGAAGGGAGAUUGAUAAGAGAAUUAACUCAGCAUGCCAAGAACCAUCUGAGAACGUUUUAGAAAACAAACACUUACUUGGAGCAACAUAGACCCCGGUUCACAGAUCUGGACUCUGCCCCUUACCAGUUACUUACCAUUGACGUAGACAGCAGCACAAAAACUUCUAGAAUCUGGAACGGGAGAAAAUCCGUCCACUAGAACUUCAACGAAGAGGAGACCCAUGCAUACCCCCAGAGAGAGUCUAUGUUUUCUUUUUUCUUUUUUUGUGAUAUACCCAAGACCCACCUUGGACUCAAGGGACACAAAUU
Leopardus geoffroyi (Geoffroy's cat) is the source of this 459-nucleotide long non-coding RNA. RefSeq lists it as uncharacterized. The transcript is spliced from 3 exons. The record is from RefSeq and is a predicted model, not a curated record. Lineage: Eukaryota; Metazoa; Chordata; Mammalia; Carnivora; Felidae.